GCCCUUAUCGUCUAGCGGCCUAGGACGUUAGCUUCUCAGGCUAGAAACACGGGUUCGAAUCCCGUUAAGGGCACCA
RNAcentral lists this transfer RNA (76 nucleotides) under Candidatus Roizmanbacteria bacterium. RNAcentral's name for it is "tRNA-Glu". It matches the Rfam family "tRNA". Rfam says of the family: Transfer RNA (tRNA) molecules are approximately 80 nucleotides in length. Their secondary structure includes four short double-helical elements and three loops (D, anti-codon, and T loops). Further hydrogen bonds mediate the characteristic L-shaped molecular structure. tRNAs have two regions of fundamental functional importance: the anti-codon, which is responsible for specific mRNA codon recognition, and the 3' end, to which the tRNAs corresponding amino acid is attached (by aminoacyl-tRNA synthetases). tRNAs cope with the degeneracy of the genetic code in two manners: having more than one tRNA (with a specific anti-codon) for a particular amino acid; and 'wobble' base-pairing, i.e. permitting non-standard base-pairing at the 3rd anti-codon position. Lineage: Bacteria; Candidatus Roizmaniibacteriota. The record is from RNAcentral.